GAUGAACGUUGGCGGCGUGGAUUAGGCAUGCAAGUCGAGCGAGAACCGUAGCAAUACGGGGACAGCGGCGAAAGGGACAGUAAUGUGUAGGUACCUACCUCCGGGUUCGGGAUAGCUGCGGGAAACUGCAGGUAAUACCGAAUAACGUCUCCGGACCAAAGGUGUGAUUCCACCUAGAGAGGGGCCUGCAUCCUAUUAGCUUGUUGGCGGGGUAACGGCCCACCAAGGCGACGAUGGGUAGCGGGUGUGAGAGCACGACCCGCGUCAUUGGGACUGAGACACUGCCCAGAAACCUACGGGGGGCUGCAGUCGUGAAUCUUCGGCAAUGGGCGCAAGCCUGACCGAGCGACGCCGCGUGCGGGAUGAAGGCCUUCGGGUUGUAAACCGCUGUCGUAGAGGAGGAAAUGCAGGGGGGUUCUCCCCUCUGUUUGACCUAUUCUAGGAGGAAGUACGGGCUAAGUUCGUGCCAGCAGCCGCCGUAA
RNAcentral lists this ribosomal RNA (482 nucleotides) under uncultured bacterium. RNAcentral's name for it is "partial 16S ribosomal RNA". It matches the Rfam family "Bacterial small subunit ribosomal RNA", at positions 28 to 523 of the family's 1533-position model. The record is from RNAcentral.